RNAcentral lists this ribosomal RNA (253 nucleotides) under uncultured bacterium. Its description in RNAcentral is "partial 16S ribosomal RNA". It matches the Rfam family "Bacterial small subunit ribosomal RNA", at positions 524 to 776 of the family's 1533-position model. The record is from RNAcentral.
GACGGAGGGUGCAAGCGUUAUCCGGAAUCACUGGGUUUAAAGGGUGCGUAGGCGGCUUGAUAAGUCAGGGGUGACAGCCCGCAGCUUAACUGCGGAACUGCGUUUGAUACUGUCGAGCUUGAAAGAGGUUGAGGUCAGCGGAACGUGACAUGUAGCGGUGAAAUGCAUAGAUAUGUCACAGAACACCGAUUGCGAAGGCAGCUGGCUGGACCUACUUUGACGCUGAUGUACGAAAGCUUGGGGAGCGAUCAGG